CCUACGGGGGGCUGCAGUCGAGAAUCAUUCACAAUGGGGGAAACCCUGAUGGUGCGACGCCGCGUGGGGGAAUGAAGGUCUUCGGAUUGUAAACCCCUGUCAUGUGGGAGCAAAUUAAAAAGAUAGUACCACAAGAGGAAGAGACGGCUAACUCUGUGCCAGCAGCCGCGGUAAUACAGAGGUCUCAAGCGUUGUUCGGAAUCACUGGGCGUAAAGCGUGCGUAGGCUGUUUCGUAAGUCGUGUGUGAAAGGCGCGGGCUCAACCCGCGGACGGCACAUGAUACUGCGAGACGAGAGUAAGGGAGGGGGAACCGGAAUUCUCGGUGUAGCAGUGAAAUGCGUAGAUAUCGAGAGGAACACUCGUGGCGAAGGCGGGUUCCUGGACAUUAACUGACGCUGAGGCACGAAGGCCAGGGGAGCGAAAGGGAUUAGAUACCCUUGUAGUC
RNAcentral lists this ribosomal RNA (446 nucleotides) under uncultured bacterium. RNAcentral's name for it is "partial 16S ribosomal RNA". It matches the Rfam family "Bacterial small subunit ribosomal RNA", at positions 338 to 795 of the family's 1533-position model. The record is from RNAcentral.